UUUUAAGGUGUGCCUGUGAUCAUUAUACCAGGGUGCUAGUUUUUUUUUUUUUUUUUUUUUUUUUCUUUUACGUGGAGCUACAUUAUCAAGAGUGUAGCACAACGCUGACUCUAAGCAUUCAGUUGUCUGUUUAAGUUCCAUGGGGUCAGAAUGUGAUCCAAUCAGGGUUGAUAACUCUGGGAGAUUAUUGAUAAAACUACGUGCAGUAGCUGACGUGAAUGUACGUUUGUUGUGGUGGCGUGGCAAAGUGCAUAUAUAUACUCGGCAAAAAAAGAACCGUCCUCUCACAUUCAACUGCUUUUAUUUCCAGCAAAUUUCGGAACAUGUGUAAGUAUUUGUAGUAACAUAAAAACAUUCAACAACUGAAACAGAAUCUGAACAAGUUUCACAGACUUUUGAAGAACAGAAAUGGAGUAAUGAGUCCCUGAACCAAGGGGGGGGGGGUCGAUAUCAAAAAGGAACAGUCAGUACCUGGUGUGUCCUCCAGCUGCUUUAAGUACUACAGAGCAUCUCAUCCUCAUGGACUGCACCAGAUUGGUCAGUUCUUGCUGUGAGAUGUUCCUCCACUCUUCCACCGAGGCGUUUGCAAGUUCUCGAUCACAUCUGGAGGGACACACAGUUAUAUGUAAUUUUCCACUGCGAGGACGAUCAUCUGUCCUUCCUGUCUCCCUGUAGCGCCGUCUCAGGCGUCUUACAUUACAGACAUUGCAGUUUAUCGCUCUGAACACGUCUGCAGUCCUCAUGCCUCCCUGCAGCAGGUCUAUGGCAUGUUCACACAGGCUGGUGCAGGCAUGAAUGAGUGACUUAUGGCGGAGACUGUAUGGAGGACUUUGCAUAAGGUCAGAGAUAACACACACACACACACACACACACACGAGCUGCUGAAUUCCAGUGCGUCACCCGCUGCUGAGCAACACUUACAUGGUAUGUUAUGAAACGUGUGAACAGCAACGCUAUAAAUACAUAUUACAACGUAAUUGACUGGAAUAAAGUUGGUUGGAUGUUCGAUAUUCGCAGAUAUGCGGAUAUUAAGGGACCGUCUCUAAAGUUACAUACGACAUUGUUAAACACGUUUCUAACUUCAAUAGCAUUUGAAGGGAAUGAUGUACAGUCACACAACCAACUGUAAAGUGUUCAUAUAGGUGUCAGGUAUGACGCACACCUUUUAGAUUUGUGGUAUAUUUUUUUUUAAAUAAGCUCUUAAAUCAUAUAUGAAUAUCGAACUUCCAACGUCAAACUAACCUUAUCCCAGUACCAAAUUGUCUCCGCUCUUGAGUGUUCUUUAGUGUUUAUAUCUGUUUGAAUGUUUCUUUUCUUCUUUCCCCUGAAAACAUUCAACAAGUCGUACUGUUUUUCAUGAAUGAUGGGAAGGAACCUGUGGACUGUUGAACCUUUCAGAUGGGGACUGUUACAUGAAUGUGUUUAAAACACAUCUGUCCAAGAAAGCAGUCACUUCUGUUAAUACUCUAGAUCAGUUACUUGCAUUACUUGUAUUUAAAAACACAGCAUGUAUCUUUAAGCUGUGCACACGCUCUUGGUCUUCUAUCCUUUGUCCCGCUUGCAAAAAAAAAAAAAAAAGAAAGAAAAAAAAACCCAGCCGCGUGUAAAAUCGAGUGAGAGCAAAGCAGCGUGAAAUACGGGCUUCAUUCUCACUGUAGAGUUUAGGGGUUGUGUGUAAAUUCCUACACUGGUGAGAAGACGUGGGUGGGUGUUCACUGGAUUACUGAGAAAAGCAUGAAAGAUAACUUGCCCAACACCCUACAGAUGUUAAUGUGAACUCGUUUGACAGUGGGUAUAAGUAGUCUACACACCCCAUUUUAAAAUCGCAGGGUUCUGUGAUGUAAACAAUGAAACCAAGAUGAAUCACGUCAGAUCUUUCUGCCCAAAUCCGUCAGCGGAGUCAAAGGAACGGCUUCAGAAGAAGAAGAUCAGUGUUAUGGAAUGGCCAAGUCAGAGCCCAGGUAAAUCCUAUCAAAACCCGUGAAAUGAAUUGAAGAGAGCUGUGCACAGAAGAUAAUCGCAAUUUUUUGCAAGGAAGAGUGGAAUAAAAUCGCCAAAGCAGGAUGCGCUAAGACUGAGUGCUAAUAUCGUAUUAGUCAAGGGGUGUACACACUUAUGCAACAAGGUUAUUGUGUUUUGUUUUUUGUUUUUUUGGUAACCUUGUCUAUUUGUUCAACCAAUUUUGCUUGUUGUUGUAUCACAUUAAAGGUGGAAAAAGAU
Ictalurus punctatus (channel catfish) is the source of this 2220-nucleotide long non-coding RNA. Lineage: Eukaryota; Metazoa; Chordata; Actinopteri; Siluriformes; Ictaluridae. The record is from Ensembl.